RNAcentral lists this ribosomal RNA (1437 nucleotides) under uncultured bacterium. RNAcentral describes it as "bacterial SSU rRNA". It matches the Rfam family "Bacterial small subunit ribosomal RNA". The record is from RNAcentral.
AGGGUUUGAUCAUGGCUCAGAACGUACGCUGGCGGCACGCCUAACACAUGCAAGUCGAACGAAGUAGCAAUACUUAGUGGCAGACGGGUGAGUAACAUGUGGGUAUCUGCCCUUUGGCCUGGAAUAACACGAGGAAACUUGUGCUAAUACCGGAUAAGUCUUUACGGAGAAAGCUUUAUGCACCAUUGGAUGAGCCCGCACUUGAUUAGUUUGUUGGUGGGGUAAUGGCCUACCAAGACUGUGAUCAAUAGCUGAUUUGAGAGGAUGAUCAGCCACAUUGGGACUGAGACACGGCCCAAACUCCUACGGGAGGCAGCAGUGGGGAAUCUUGCACAAUGGAGGAAACUCUGAUGCAGCGAUGCCGCGUGAGUGAAGAAGGCCCUUGGGUUGUAAAGCUCUUUCGUCGGGGAAGAAAAUGACUGUACCCGAAUAAGAAGGUCCGGCUAACUUCGUGCCAGCAGCCGCGGUAAUACGAAGGGACCUAGCGUAGUUCGGAAUUACUGGGCUUAAAGAGUUCGUAGGUGGUUGAAAAAGUUAGUGGUGAAAUCCCAGAGCUUAACUCUGGAACUGCCAUUAAAACUUUUCAGCUAGAGUAUGAUAGAGGAAAGCAGAAUUUCUAGUGUAGAGGUGAAAUUCGUAGAUAUUAGAAAGAAUACCAAUUGCGAAGGCAGCUUUCUGGAUCAUUACUGACACUGAGGAACGAAAGCAUGGGUAGCGAAGAGGAUUAGAUACCCUCGUAGUCCAUGCCGUAAACGAUGUGUGUUAGACGUUGGAAAUUUAUUUUCAGUGUCGCAGCGAAAGCGAUAAACACACCGCCUGGGGAGUACGACCGCAAGGUUAAAACUCAAAUGAAUUGACGGGGACCCGCACAAGUAGUGGAGCAUGUGGUUUAAUUCGAAGAUACGCGCAGAACCUUACCAACACUUGACAUGUUCGUCGCGACUCUAAGAGAUUAGAGUUUUCGGUUCGGCCGGACGAAACACAGGUGCUGCAUGGCUGUCGUCAGCUCGUGUCGUGAGAUGUUGGGUUAAGUCCCGCAACGAGCGCAACCCUCACUUUUAGUUGCCAUCAUUAAGUUGGGCACUCUGAAAGAACUGCCAGUGAUAAGCUGGAGGAAGGUGGGGAUGACGUCAAGUCCUCAUGGCCCUUACGUGUUGGGCUACACACGUGCUACAAUGGUAUCUACAACAGGAAGCAAGACUGCGAGGUCAAGCAAAUCCUUAAAAGAUACCUCAGUUCGGAUUGCACUCUGCAACUCGAGUGCAUGAAGCUGGAAUUACUAGUAAUCGUGGAUCAGCGUGCCACGGUGAAUGCGUUCCCGGGUCUUGUACACACCGCCCGUCACACCAUGGGAGUUGGUUCUACCUUAAGGCAAGGUUUCAAACCCUUGACCACGGUAUAGUCAGCGACUGGGGUGAAGUCGUAACAAGGUAGCCG